Molecule: ribosomal RNA, 511 nt
Filed under: uncultured bacterium
Lineage: Bacteria
Description: partial 16S ribosomal RNA
Rfam family: Bacterial small subunit ribosomal RNA
Source: RNAcentral
GACGAACGCUGGCGGCGUGCCUAAUACAUGCAAGUCGAGCGGAACUGGGGGAGCUUGCUCCUUCCAGUUUAGCGGCGGACGGGUGAGUAACACGUGGGCAACCUGCCCUGCAGAUCGGGAUAACUCCGGGAAACCGGUGCUAAUACCGAAUAGUUUGGCGCCUCUCCUGAGGCGCUACGGAAAGACGGUUUCGGCUGUCACUGCAGGAUGGGCCCGCGGCGCAUUAGCUAGUUGGUGGGGUAACGGCCCACCAAGGCGACGAUGCGUAGCCGACCUGAGAGGGUGACCGGCCACACUGGGACUGAGACACGGCCCAGACUCCUACGGGAGGCAGCAGUAGUGAAUCUUCCGCAAUGGACGCAAGUCUGACGGAGCAACGCCGCGUGAGUGGCGAAGGUUUUCGGAUCGUAAAACUCUGUUGUGAGGGAAGAACACGUACCAACUACUAUUGGUACCUUGACGGUACCUCACCAGAAAGCCACGGCUAACUACGUGCCAGCCGCCGCCGUAA